RNAcentral lists this ribosomal RNA (253 nucleotides) under uncultured bacterium. RNAcentral describes it as "partial 16S ribosomal RNA". It matches the Rfam family "Bacterial small subunit ribosomal RNA", at positions 524 to 776 of the family's 1533-position model. The record is from RNAcentral.
UACGGAUGGGGCUAGCGUUGUUCGGAAUUACUGGGCGUAAAGCGCAUGUAGGCGGGUCGUUAAGGCGGGGGUGAAAGCCCAGAGCUCAACUCUGGAACUGCCUUCGAUACCGGCGACCUGGACCCAAGGAGAGGCGAGUGGAAUUGCGAGUGUAGAGGUGAAAUUCGUAGAUAUUCGCAGGAACACCAGUGGCGAAGGCGACUCGCUGGACUUGUGGUGACGUUGAGAUGCGAAAGCGUGGGGAGCAAACAGG